Panthera leo (lion) is the source of this 106-nucleotide small nuclear RNA. NCBI's taxonomy places the organism in Eukaryota, Metazoa, Chordata, Mammalia, Carnivora, Felidae. The record is from Ensembl.
GUGUUCACUGUGGCAGCACUUAUACUAAAAUUGGAACGAUACAGAGAAGAUUAGCAUGGCCCCUGCGCAAGAAUGACACCCAAACUCAUGAGCGUUCCAUAUUUUA